This is a long non-coding RNA of Hypanus sabinus (Atlantic stingray), 2158 nucleotides long. RefSeq lists it as uncharacterized. The transcript is spliced from 3 exons. The record is from RefSeq and is a predicted model, not a curated record. Lineage: Eukaryota; Metazoa; Chordata; Chondrichthyes; Myliobatiformes; Dasyatidae.
CUCUUCCGCUCCAUCGCCAUGGCGGAGAUCAGCGAGUCGCUUCUGUCGGUGUCGCCGGCCUCGGCGCCCACAAGGACGGCUGUGAUUCCCCUUCGCGACUCGGUGGGUCUGUUUCGGUGACGUCUGUGGUGGCUGACGAAACAUGCUUUGACAGGGAGCGAGCGAGGAACCAUGACUACAACUCCCAGAAGGCCCCACUGAUGACGUUGUGGUGUUUCAGGCUUUCCCACCACAGACGGAAGGCUCAAUGGUCUAUAAUUAUCCAGACUAUCCCUACUACCAUUUAUGAACAAGGGGACAACAUUCGCCUCCCUCCAAUCCUCCGGUACCAUUCCCGUGGACAAUGAGGACAUAAUGAUCCUAGCCUGGGGCUCAGCAAUCUAUUUCCUUGCCUCGGAUGCAGAACUGUGAAGUGACAGAUGAAGAGAUUCAUUUCUGCAGGUCAAAUUUGAACACAGAAUAUAAUAUUAAUGAGACCUGGUUGACGGAGGAGACAGCGGACCACGCCAUCGAACCGUCUGGGUUCUCCCUGUUCCCUGUGGACAGGUGGAAACCCCUCACUGGGAAGAGUAAAGGAGGUGGUGUAUGCUUCAUGGUCAACAAUGCUUGGUGCAGACCCCAAUGCAUGUGCUCCAAUCCUUUGUUGCCCAGAUGUGGAGCAGCUGUUUAGACCCUACUGGCUGCCCAGGGAGUUCACGGUGUUAUCAUCACAGCAGUGUACAUUCCGCCCCAGGCUGAUACUGACCUGGCUCUCAAGGAACUGUACGAAACCCUCAACACGCUGAAGACUGCCCACCCAGAGGCUGCCUUCAUUGUUGCCCUGACUUUAAUCCAGCAUCGCAGACUGAAGUCCCUCCGAAGUGUUGUCAGCACAUCCAGGUGAGCGUUUGGGGAGCUGGCACUCUCGGCCUUUCCAUAACGCUUACAAAGUGCUCCUCCGACCACACUUCAACAAUCAGAUCACUCUCUGAUCCGGCUUCUGCUGAUGUACAGGCAACAGCUGAAACAAGAGGCGGCCAUGGGUGAUCCAUCCACUAUUGGUCCAACCAAUCGGUCUUCAUGCUACAGGACUGCUUGGAUGACAUCAAUUGGAUUGUCUUCCAUGAUGAGGAUGUGACCAAGUUCACGAUGGGGUCACGUGCUUCAUCUGAAAGUGCAUCGAGAAUGUUCUUCUCCAGAAAUCGGUCAAUGUCGUUUCUUUAUCGUUACCUAUAAUGUGGGCACAAAAACAGCCACACCAACAAUCCCAGUUAAAUUAGAUUUUGAUCCUUCUGUAAAACGGUUAAUAUAUAUCAAUAAAUUUCCUUAAUAUACCAAUAAUCUAACAGAUUCUCAGGCCUAACAACAUCCUGAGACUUUAUUAAAUCGUGUAUCCCAAAAUCAAUAAAGGCAUUUAAAAAACAAGUUGGGGUUACCCGGAAUGCCACAGUGGAACAUAUUGCAUAAUUCAACGAACCCACAUUCCCAGCGUAAUAAGAACCCAAGCACCCAAAACUAUAACACUCUUCUUGUGAUGUUCCCAACAGUCCUCCGACACACCUCCAACAGGAUGAUCAUUUCUUUGCUCUUUCAAAUUAAUCCAGUACGUUAACAUUAAAUUCAAUCUCUGCAAAAUCAUUCAGUAAACCUGAAACAGGAGACGGCCUUACUGCAUCAUAACAAAAUCUUAAAGCCUGUGCUUGUCUCACAGCCAAACAUUUGAAAGUUGGAGAUGAGGCUGAUCCAUGAGCCACAGAAUCAAGACAAGAUCUAAUGAAACAAAUGUAAAUGGUCAGCAGAGAUUUUCAUGUCGCUCCUGAAGAAUAUCCACAGAGACACAGUGAAUAUUUAUUGCUCCUUUAUAUUUAUCAAUUACUAUACUGAAACGGUGGUUCCAUGUCAGCUCAUUGUGCAUCCACCUGCCUGGAAAUCUCACCACUGACACGUCUUCAAGAGUUUGGUCAGAUGAUUUCAAAUCAGGUGCAGGUCUAUUAAUACUGUUUAUAAAACACGUGACUUGUGUUUUUUGCCACUGAAACCUCGAAUCCAUACACCUCCAUCAUCUGCAAAUACUGAUUUACCCACCCCUGCACCUAUCGCAGAGAAAAUAUUAUUAAUUAUAAUAAGAAAUAAUAAAUACUACUUGUGGGACCCCAAUCUCUAUCUCAGAAACCCGUGU